UCCUGUGCUGCCAACAAGGACACCAUGUCACUAAUUAGCCUUCUAUCGCCGUGACACCUGUCCCUUUUCGAAUCCGCACCGUUUCAUUAACUCUCAUGUGGUUUUGGGCUUUUUCGUUUAUCUCUGGUCGCUGUGGUUUUCGAGACAGCCCAAUAGCCAAACAGAUUGAACCCUAAUUGUGUUUUACACGCAUAAAGGAUUUUACGGUACGUCUCUCUUUUUUCUUCAGUGGUUCCCCUCUUCUUCCUCCUGUGACUUUCUGAUCUUCAUCUGUAACAUUGAAACGCUUCCAGUUAUAUCUUCUUCAUGUUUGAUCCUUUAUUAAUUAGAUUCUGCUUAUCUUCCUGAAGGGGAAUCUGCUGAUUGGUCAAAGACCACUACUCCUUUCGUCAAGAAGGAAUCAGGAGAGGGAGAAGCCAUGGAUGAUCUCUUCUCGGCGUAUAUGAAUCUUGAAAACAUUGAUGCCUUAAACUCCCCUGAAGCUGAUAUGGAGAGUAGUAGAGCAAGCGGGACCAAGACUAACGGUAGUGACGACACAGAGGGAGAAAGCAGCAGCGUCAAUUACGAGAGUGGUGGCGAUCAUAACAAUAGCUUUACAGGAGUGUUUCAGUAGACAUUUUCUUUGUCAUGCUUGCUCUGGUUCAGAGUUGGCGUACCUGCGAGUAUAAAUAGAUCACCAUUAUUCCCCUUACAAUCAUCUUCCAAGCCGUGUAUCUACUACACCUAUAAAAAAGCUCGCUUUUCUGAGGAUGAUAAUUGUUUGUGUUCAAACUUUUGGUGAAGCAACAAAAAGUUGAGUUGGAGAGAAGCCACUUCUAUCUGUUUGAACAUUUUUCCAGUGUUUAGAGGAGUGGCGACAUUGAAAGUGAGGGCUAUGAAAGAAGUUUGGAACAUUGCAUCAGUGUCUACAGGGAUUAAGAACUCACUACUUCUGAAGGCUGCAACAACAUUAGUAAUGGUAGCAAUGGAAGCUCCAGUAGUUGUCACAGUAGCUAGGAUAAUUUCUUGGUAAUUAGCAGAGAAUGUCUUGCAAGAGGCUGUCUACUUCUCAAACGUACUUUGUCAAGGUAAUGAAUAUUAUUUUUUCUUUUUGAUUUAGUUUACGUUUCAGUUCUUGGAUAUUUUUCCUAAUGCUUUGUUACUGUUGGAAGUUGUCUCCGCUGGAAAAUAGUUCAUGUUUCAAUCAACACUCUGAUGAAACAAAUAAAACAGAGCCAAACUGUUUGUGAAUAAGUGAGGAAUCUUUAGCUUACUUUAUAUGGAUGUGAACUUUCUUAUAUCAAACACACAUAGAUACUUCAAAUGGCAGGAUAAGAAGAAAGUAGAAACAAAGCUAAGGCUGAUAUAAAAAAGCAUACGUUAUGACAAUGAUGAUGAUAAUGAAGUUAUGGGAUCUACAUUUGUGUAUUACUUAAGAAUUUUCUUUGUGAAUCACCAAGAUGAAAGACUAUAAAAGGUAUGUCUUGGCAUUAUAAUUUAGGCUUUUUAGUAUUAGUUUAUUUUGUGGAAUUUUUUUUUUGUUUCGGUCAUCUUAUAUAUGUUAUUACUAAGUUUGUAAGUCUCAUGAUCAUUUUUGUGAUUUGCCUUUUGGUGGAAUGUAUCUUUAUUUUUUUCA
Molecule: long non-coding RNA, 1615 nt
Organism: Brassica napus (rape)
Lineage: Eukaryota; Viridiplantae; Streptophyta; Magnoliopsida; Brassicales; Brassicaceae
Exons: 3
Source: RefSeq, a predicted model, not a curated record